This is a long non-coding RNA of Homo sapiens (human), 4077 nucleotides long. RefSeq lists it as uncharacterized. NCBI's taxonomy places the organism in Eukaryota, Metazoa, Chordata, Mammalia, Primates, Hominidae. The record is from RefSeq and is a predicted model, not a curated record. The transcript is spliced from 4 exons.
AGAGGGACUCCAGCACGCCUGGAUGCUGGUCUCAGGCAAGCACAGUGGUGCCCGAUCGGGAUCCCUGCUUUCCUGGGUGCCUGCUGUGGGAGGGAUGCCCAUCAAUUGCUCUGGGCUGCCCUUCCCUGGCCUCUUAGAGGAUGUAGAAAAUGCAGAGAGACCCAAGGUGGGUGUUCCGUGAGGGGACUUCUGCUGGGGGAGAGUGGGGCAUGGCUGCUGUCUAGGAGCUGAUCUCAGACGUGAAAAGUGAGUGGGAUAUGGGGGUUUCUGACCCCAGAGGCUGGGGAAGCCCUUCACAGGCCAUCUGUCCCGAGACCACAGGGUGGGCAGCAACGCCUGCCUCCAUCCUCACCCCAGCCUGCUGCUGUCAGUGCUGGAGUUCCUCCCAACAGAGUGGAGACUCCGGGACCUGUGCUCCCUGGGAGAUGGUGACAUAUGCAGCCUGAGGCUUCUGUUCCCCAUGAGCAGGCACAAAGUCUGUGGGCCCGGGGGAGCCUGAGAGCUGGACCUCCUUUCCCAGACAUUUCUGAAGAAGCACAAUUGAAGCGUGCCUGCCCUGCUCCAGCCUGGUUAACCCUGGGCGUGGGGCCUGCCAGAUGUCUUGAGCCUGCUGUCCCAUGUUCUCUGUGUCCCAGGUUCAGGGUUCCUCCAUCCCCAGCGCCCUGGCUCAGGGACUGGCUGAGCAAGGAAAACACUGGUGAGUGAAGCAGCCAAGAGCUUGCGUCACAGCGGAAUAGGCAGUCUGUUGUUUGCCUCAUCCACUAUUAUUUUAUUUUAUUAUAAAAUAAGAAGAUAUGAUGUUACUUUCCUGAGGAGCCCUGAGGUAGACACCAGGAUCCCAUUUCACAGAUACAGAAGCUGUGGCCAAGGCUGGCGGGACUUGUGGAGCUGGGCCUGGUGCUCAGGUGGCCUGGCCUCCUUACCCACUCACCGCAUAUGCCUGUCCUCCUGUCUAGGCCUCUAGAUACCAUGUGGCACUGGGACGGGUCCCCCGGUCCCCACUGGACCUGGUGUGCUGGUGAGGCCAGUGUCUGCAUGGUCCUGCUUCUGGGCCCCAGGCAGGCUGUGCCCCUGGCUUCGGCCCUGGCUACCUCUGCUGCCUCUGCUGUGGGCCUGGGUGCUGAGCCUGUUCUCUCCUCUCCCUGCACCCCAGGCCUCUGCCCUGGGCUCCCCCAACCACUGACAACUGUCAGGAGCCCCAACCCUGCUGGCCAGACAUCGUAGUCCACUCGGGCCAGCAGGGGCCUCCUGUCACUGGAGUUGCCCAGAGCUUUUGGAGCCUGGGCCUCAGUUGUGCCUGGUGCUUUCCUCUGCAGCCCCAUCCUGGCUUGACUGCUCCCCUGCCCUCGCCUCCAGCAGCGGACUCUGCUUCCGAUGCCUCGGGAGUCUACAGCAGGGCCAUGUCUGUGAGGGCCCAAGGGUGCAUGUGUCUCCCAGGUUUCGGUGCAGAGCGGCUUCCCUCCUCCCAGCAAUGCGAGCUAAUCCUGGAGGACCCCACUGGAGCAGCUCAGCAUGGAGCCUGUCUCCUGCAGUCUCCCCAGCUCCUCCAUGGGGCAUUCUCACCCACAGCCCGUCCCUGCUUCAUGGAUGCCUCUAAAGCUUCCAGCUUCUGACAACGGCGUUCACGGUUUCACCACAAGCUCCCAAGCUCCUGGCUUCUUCCCCUGACAUGUCCCGGGCCCAGGGCAUGACAUUUACAGUUUCCUCUCAUUAUUCCCACCUCUUCACUCCAUUUUGCUUCACCCUGCCCACGGAGGGGCUGCUGCUUGACCCUGCCAUCCCAGGACCACCCUUUCUGACAUGUCUGCCACCAAGACUCAUUCAUACGUCUACAUGUCCGUUUACUCAGCUGACUCUUGUGGGGCACAUUCUGGGAGCUGGCAUGGAGAAUGAAGCUCUGCGGGUGGGCAGCCCACCUCUGCCAGCCUCACUUGCACUCACUCCAUCCAGUAACCAGAGUCUACUCCACAGCCAGGAGCAGCAGCCCCUCUACCUCUCAGCCUCAUCCCGUGUGCCCUCCAUUCUUCUUCCCACACCCAGCCGGACUCACCCUGUACCUUGGCCGAUGCAGCCCAGUCUUCCUGCAACCCCGUCCCUCUGUCUCAGCAGGUUCCAGGCCUGGCUCCAGGGCCACCUCCUUCAGCCAGUGCCAUAGGUGGCUGAAUUCUGUCCCUGGAGUGGUUCUAUGUUGACAUCCUAACCCCCAGUACCUCCAAAUGUGACUGUACUUGGAGACAGUUGAAAUGGGGUCAUAUGGGUGGACCCUAAUCCCAUAUGACUGGCGUCCUUAUAAGUGGAGAUGAGGACACAGAUGUGCACAGAAGACAGAUGAGGUGAGGAUGCAGGGAGAAGGUGGUCAUCUGCAAAGCAAGAGAAAGGCCUCAAAAGAAACCAACCCUGUGACACCUUGAUCUUGGACUUCCAGCCUCCAGAACUUUGAAGAAAUGAAUUUCUGUUUAAUAUUGUUAUGGCAGCCCCACCCAACUGAUAUAGCUGAGUGUCCCCUUUGCCUUCCCUAGGGCCUGAGAUUUCCUUUUUAGCCCUUUCACCUCAAGUCACAUUUGUUUGCAGACACCACAUCACCAGGACCCCACCAAUAAGACCCAACACUGCCUCCUCAUUUUCCCCGUGAUUUGAGGGGAAGAAAAGGCAAAAACACUUAAAUGAAGGAAUCGAAGACAGCCUUUUGGCCAGCAGACCUUGUCAGCCUUGGGUAAUGCUGUGAUGUGUUUUGAAAAAUGCCAGCAGGCUCAGCCUUGAUAUUUAUGACCCUGCUUCUUGGCCUUCCUGGGGAGUGGUGCUCUCUGCUCUUAAAUUUAUGGUCCUUCAGUGCAGUCCCAGACCAACCAGGGGAUUGCAAAUGGGCUGUCUGCUAAUAGUGUGUGCAGAUGGUGUGGGAGGUGGUGUGAUCCUUGGCUCUGGGGUCAGACACAAGUGCUUCUCACCCGGGGAGGGGUGCUCCGGACCUGAGAAGGGUCUCCUCCAUCUUCUCCUUUGCAAAGCCUCAGAGUUUACAGAGGAAUCAAGGUAUGCUAACCACCUCUCACUAUUUUUGACAUGGCUGCACACCAGUUCCACUUUCUUAAUAUUUAUCUUUUAAUCAACUUGUUGCCCCCUGGAGGCCAGACGACCCAUGGGGCAUAAGACAUGAAGUGCAUGUUCCUGCUAUCCCUGGGCCUGGGCUAAAUUAGGUGGGGACCCCCUUCAGGGCCUUUGCAGAGUUUGGAGACAUGGGGAAGAUCAGGAUCCCCACCUGGCCCCUAGAAGGGAGAUCUCUGAAAGACUAGUUGAAGCUAACAAGCUUAACCUCCCCAAGUCCCUAUGUGUCCACCUGAGCUUGACUUUAUUAAAAAGGCAGGUGGAUUUCCUUUUGAGGAGCUCUGCAAAUCUUGGGGUAAGGAGGAGACAUUAGAGUGAGGGUGAUACCUGUGAUGCCCAACGACCAAUCCCAGAAUGACCCAGGCACAAGAAGGUACUGGAAUUCUUCAGAGGGGCACGAGUAACUACCCCACCUGCCAUACAUUUUCAGGUGGAAAACAAAAGUCACACAGCAGUGCAGAUUUCUCCAGGAAGAACUGCAGCUCGGAAGCCAAGUGUGGACCGGGGCCCUGGGAAGAGACUGCUGAGCCAGGAGUUGUCUGGAAUCCUUGUCUGUUGCAGACCCCAUGACCAGUGAGUGCAACCUCACCACAACCAUUGAUGCUGAAUAGGAACCUGCAAAUCCAAUGGCACUGCCAGAAUCAACUGAAUGGCUCUGAGAAGGCAGCCCUCAGAAAUCUGGGAAAUUCUCUCCUAUGGAUGAUCACAGGUUCUGGGAUGCAGAGCAAACAGGGAGCUAAUGGAAGCACUCAGGAUGAUAGAAUUCUAACUUCAUGAAAACAUGUUUGAUUGUGGGUCCCAGUAAAGAUGUCCCAGUUCUCGGCCAGAAUCUUUUCUGAAGACUGAGCUGGAGGAGGUACCCGUUCUGGAAUGGUCUCAAAUGCAACCUGCAGGUUUGGCCCCCUGGAGGAAGUGAGAAGAAUGGAGAUGAACACGUUUCUUGUGUCAUGUCCUCAUUCUGCCCAAGACACACCUACC